Molecule: long non-coding RNA, 507 nt
Organism: Alosa sapidissima (American shad)
Lineage: Eukaryota; Metazoa; Chordata; Actinopteri; Clupeiformes; Clupeidae
Exons: 3
Source: RefSeq, a predicted model, not a curated record
GCGCGGCCACGUCCUCGCAGCGGAAGGAGAGGUCGCCGUGCAGAGUGACCCCAGGGACACGCCUCUCCGCCAGGGCUGUGGGCGGCAGCCAAGCGGAUGUGGAGAACAGCGUGGCGGUGAGGUGAGGGGCUGAAGAGGGGCCGUUAGUCGAUGUCAGUGACGCCAGGCAGAAAACUAAUGGCUACUCCAUCCAUGAACAGCGCUGUGCUUCGGGAAGAGGGAUUUCUCAGGACGGAUGUGGUGGACCUCUGUGAGAGAUGUGCCGCUGCUGCGACCACUGGAUUGCUGACCUGCGAGCUGCCAUGCUCUGCUGCCUGGAGUCUGGAUUGAGUAACGUUAGAAGCAAGUUUGAACAACUCUGACGACAGCGAUCUCACUAAACAACAAACGGUCGCUGUCAAACAGUCGCCGUUUGCUGAUCUGUAGGAUCACCUACGACUUCAGACUGUUCAUCUGACUAUCCUCAUCCACAAGUGUUAAAAAUUUAGGAGUUACAAUUGACCAAGA